RNAcentral lists this long non-coding RNA (421 nucleotides) under Capsicum annuum. Its description in RNAcentral is "long non-coding RNA (CANN_LNC014168)". Lineage: Eukaryota; Viridiplantae; Streptophyta; Magnoliopsida; Solanales; Solanaceae. The record is from RNAcentral.
UUGCCAAAAUCAUAUAAAAUAAUUGUAAUCUCCUUAAAGAUACAACAAAAGAAACAUUUUUCUCCAAGGACCUAGUCUAGACAGAUACAAGAUCUUCUAAGUAAAGAAAAUAAUAACACAAGACCCAAAUUCUUCCAUGGAAAUGAAAGGAUAAAAGCUAUUAGAGAUUCUUAACCAUGCCAUGUAAGAAUCAUCAACUAAUCCCGGAACCAAACUAUACCCCCAAGAGGGUAUAGCAAGAGUAGUAUCAAUACAACCAUACAUACUAGUAGGCAUCGUUGAUCGAGUAUGUUUAGAUCACAUAAACAUAAUAUAGGAAGCCAGAAUCAAACAUGAAUAUAUGAACAACCAAUUAAACUUCUUCUCUCUGAUAAAUCAUGCUAAACUCUUUUAUAAUAAUAUUAUCAUUCUUUGAUCUAUG